Paramuricea clavata is the source of this 755-nucleotide non-coding RNA. The record is from the annotation of a GenBank genome assembly. Lineage: Eukaryota; Metazoa; Cnidaria; Anthozoa; Malacalcyonacea; Plexauridae.
GUCCUGAUGUGUCGUCUGAAUGCACACAGAUUUACCAUUGCAUAAAGUAAAUUUAAAAUGCUCUGAGUGUAUAUGUUUUUAUAUUUAUCCAAUUAUAAGUUCGAGAUUAAGUUAACUAAAAUUGUAAUGGAACAAUCUGGCUCGUGUCCUGAUGUGUCGUCUGAAUGCACACAGAUUUACCAUUGCAUAAAGUAAAUUUAAAAUGCUCUGAGUGUAUAUAUGUUUUUAUAUUUAUCCAAUUAUAAGUUCGAGAUUAAGUUAACUAAAAUUGUAAUGGAACAAUCUGGCUCGUGUCCUGAUGUGUCGUCUGAAUGCACACAGAUUUACCAUUGCAUAACGUAUUUCUAAACUAUUAUUUUCUAAAGCAAAGACGCUAUAUGUGUCUUGAAAUAUAUGGAACAAUUCAAACAUAACCAACUUGUGAUGGUACUAAUCUGGCUCGUGUCCUGAUGUGUCGUCUGAAUGCACACAGAUUUACCAUUGCAUAAAGUAAAUUUAAAAUGUUCUGAGUGUAUAUGUUUUUAUAUUUAUCCAGUUAUAAGUUCGAGAUUAAGUUAACUAAAAUUGUAAUGGAACAAUCUGGCUCGUGUCCUGAUGUGUCGUCUGAAUGCACACAGAUUUACCAUUGCAUAACGUAUUUCUAAACUAUUCUUUUCUAAAGCAAAGACGCAUAUGUGUCUUGAAAUAUAUGGAACAAUUCAAACAUAACCAACUUGUGAUGGUACUAAUCUGGCUCGUGUCCUGAUGUGUCGUCU